This 1275-nucleotide ribosomal RNA is filed under the name uncultured Acinetobacter sp. RNAcentral describes it as "bacterial SSU rRNA". It matches the Rfam family "Bacterial small subunit ribosomal RNA", at positions 144 to 1405 of the family's 1533-position model. Lineage: Bacteria; Pseudomonadati; Pseudomonadota; Gammaproteobacteria; Moraxellales; Moraxellaceae. The record is from RNAcentral.
CAACAUUCCGAAAGGAAUGCUAAUACCGCAUACGCCCUACGGGGGAAAGCAGGGGAUCUUCGGACCUUGCGCUAAUAGAUGAGCCUAAGUCGGAUUAGCUAGUUGGUGGGGUAAAGGCCUACCAAGGCGACGAUCUGUAGCGGGUCUGAGAGGAUGAUCCGCCACACUGGGACUGAGACACGGCCCAGACUCCUACGGGGGGCAGCGGUGGGGAAUAUUGGACAAUGGGCGGAAGCCUGAUCCAGCCAUGCCGCGUGUGUGAAGAAGGCCUUUUGGUUGUAAAGCACUUUAAGCGAGGAGGAGGCUCCUUUAGUUAAUACCUAAAGUGAGUGGACGUUACUCGCAGAAUAAGCACCGGCUAACUCUGUGCCAGCAGCCGCGGUAAUACAGAGGGUGCGAGCGUUAAUCGGAUUUACUGGGCGUAAAGCGUGCGUAGGCGGCUUUUUAAGUCGGAUGUGAAAUCCCUGAGCUUAACUUAGGAAUUGCAUUCGAUACUGGAAAGCUAGAGUAUGGGAGAGGAUGGUAGAAUUCCAGGUGUAGCGGUGAAAUGCGUAGAGAUCUGGAGNGANANUACCGAUGGCGAAGGCAGCCAUCUGGCCUAAUACUGACGCUGAGGUACGAAAGCAUGGGGAGCAAACAGGAUUAGAUACCCUGGUAGUCCAUGCCGUAAACGAUGUCUACUAGCCGUUGGGGCCUUUGAGGCUUUAGUGGCGCAGCUAACGCGAUAAGUAGACCGCCUGNGGGANGNUNACGNGUCGCAAGACUAAAACUCAAAUGAAUUGACGGGGGCCCGCACAAGCGGUGGAGCAUGUGGUUUAAUUCGAUGCAACGCGAAGAGCCUUACCUGGCCUUGACAUACUAAGAACUUUCCAGAGAUGGAUUGGUGCCUUCGGGAACUUAGAUACAGGUGCUGCAUGGCUGUCGUCGGCUCGUGUCGUGAGAUGUUGGGUUAAGUCCCGCAACGAGCGCAACCCUUUUCCUUAUUUGCCAGCGGGUAAUGCCGGGAACUUUAAGGAUACUGCCAGUGACAAACUGGAGGAAGGCGGGGACGACGUCAAGUCAUCAUGGCCCUUACGGCCAGGGCUACACACGUGCUACAAUGGUCGGUACAAAGGGUUGCUACCUCGCGAGAGGAUGCUAAUCUCAAAAAGCCGAUCGUAGUCCGGAUCGCAGUCUGCAACUCGACUGCGUGAAGUCGGAAUCGCUAGUAAUCGCGGAUCAGAAUGCCGCGGUGAAUACGUUCCCGGGCCUUGUACACACCGCCCGUCACACCAU